UACGUAGGGGGCUAGCGUUGUUCGGCUUUACUGGGCGUAAAGCGCGUGUAGGCGGGUCGUUAAGUUGGGGGUGAAAUCCCGGAGCUCAACUCCGGAACUGCCUUCAAAACUGGCGACCUGGACUCAAGCAGAGGCAAGUGGAAUUGCGAGUGUAGAGGUGAAAUUCGUAGAUAUUCGCAGGAACACCAGUGGCGAAGGCGACUUGCUGGGCUUGUAGUGACGCUGAGACGCCAAAGCGUGGGGAGCACACAGG
This 253-nucleotide ribosomal RNA is filed under the name uncultured bacterium. RNAcentral's name for it is "partial 16S ribosomal RNA". It matches the Rfam family "Bacterial small subunit ribosomal RNA", at positions 524 to 776 of the family's 1533-position model. The record is from RNAcentral.